This is an RNA transcript of Camellia sinensis, 2481 nucleotides long. RefSeq lists it as uncharacterized. The record is from RefSeq and is a predicted model, not a curated record. NCBI's taxonomy places the organism in Eukaryota, Viridiplantae, Streptophyta, Magnoliopsida, Ericales, Theaceae.
UUUCCGAACCGAUUAAAACCCUUCGCUCGCCGGAAAAAGGUGAGGGACGAAAAUGAAAGAACUCAGAGAGAAGGCGGAGGAGAUCCCAAGAGCCACCGCAGACGGCGGCAUGGUGGUGGUGGAGCUGCCGCUGGGGGAGGCGGCGGCGACAUUCGAUCUGGUGAAGGCAGUUUGUAGCCAUGGUUUGUUCAUGACGGCCCCCAAUCACUGGGACCCUCUCUCCAAAACCCUAGAACGCCCACUGCGCCUCCAUUCUGAUGGUGAAUCUGGUAAUGGCGACUCUAUUCCUUCGUCAUCACCUACUUCUCUUCUCGUCCGCAUCUCUCACCCCUCCUAUUCUCCUCAAUCUCUCCAUCUCCAUGUCUUUGGCACCGUCUUUCUCUCUCCUCAGCACCAAAAAUCGUUACUGGAUCAAGUGAGGAGAAUGCUGAGAUUGUCGGAGGGGGAAGAGAGGAGAGUGAAGGAGUUUCAGAAGAUGCAUGGAGAAGCCAAAGAGAGGGGUUUUGGGAGAGUGUUUAGGUCGCCUACAUUGUUCGAGGACAUGGUCAAGAGUGUACUCCUCUGCAACUGCCAGUGGUCCAGGACCCUGAGCAUGGCUAGAGCACUUUGUGAGCUUCAGUUGGAACUGCAGUGCCCAUCAUUCAGUGCAUUUGUUCCCAAUGUUGAAAAUGGUACAAAAACUCCAAAAGCUGAGACUGAGCAUUUAGUUCCAAAGACACCUAUAGGAAAAGAACCAAAGAGGAAGCUUCGAGCAAAAAAAGGUUCCAAAAAUUUAGCCAUCAGAUUUUUGAAGACCCAAACACAAAUAGAAGCAGAAAAUACCACGAGGACAGAUUCUGUUGAAAUGUCAGAUUGCUUACAAGGGACAAAGAAACUAUGCCCAAGCAUCCUCUUGUCAAAUGGAGAAAAAGACUUGCAUGAAUGCUACAACUUUUCUCAGACUUCAACUGAAAUUAGUAAUGCUGAUUUAACUGAAGUUUCUAAAGCUGAUUCACGUCUGUUUUCUGAUCUUCAGUCUUCAGAAGUGAUAGAACUUUCCAGCCACAAUAGGAUUGGAAAUUUUCCUAGCCCAAGAGAACUAGCAACCCUUAAUGAAAAGUUUCUGGAAAAGCGCUGUAAUCUUGGCUAUAGAGCAAGUCGCAUAAUAAAGCUUGCUCAGAGUAUUGUUGAAGGCAGAAUCCAACUUAGACAACUUGAAGAAGCUUGUAGUGAACCAAGCUUAUCAAACUACAGCAAGGCAGUUGAGCAACUGAACGAAAUUUAUGGAUUUGGCCCUUUUACAUGUGCCAAUGUGCUUGUUUGCAUGGGAUUUUACCAUGUGAUUCCAACUGAUUCUGAAACUAUUAGGCAUUUAAAACAGGUUCAUAAAAGAAAUUCCACCAUUCAAAAUGUUCAAAGAGAUGUUGAUAUAAUGUAUGAAAAGUAUGCACCAUUUCAGUUCUUGGCAUACUGGUCAGAAAUGUGGCAGUUCUACGAGGAAUGGUUCGGAAAGCUGAGUGAAAUGCCUCACUCUGAUUAUAAACUUAUUACAGCUGCUAAUAUGAGAACUACGAAUGGCAAAAGUAAGAGGGCCAAGAAAUCCUGAUGAGGAUUUUUCUGCCAUGAAUUGUUUAGAAAGCCAAUUGCAACGCCUUGAAUGAGGUUUGAAGGAGUGGGAAAAAAAAGUUAGGACAGAGAUUUUGGAAACAUAUUGGAUACGUCAAAAGACAAAAGUUGUUGCUCUCUUCUCCACAAAUUUAGAUCUGGGUUGCCACCAACACCACCUCCGGCGAUGGACGAGGAGCACCAACAUGACCUAUUCAGAUUUGGGUUGCCACUAAUACUACCUCUGGUGACGGACAAUGAGAACUAGCAUGACCUUUCCUCUUCACCUUCCCUUCUCCUUCCGGUCUAGUCCGGAUGCCACAAACACCACCUUCGGCAACCCCUCAACCACCAUCAACAACCCUCUUCUCAUCCCCACCCCUUAUUCUUCUUCUUUUUUCUUCUUUGUUGUUGCCGCUACAAACCCUUCUUCUUUGCCACUGCAAACCCUAGAUCCAGGGUUUGUGGCAAAGAAGAAAGAAGAAAGAGGAGAAGAAGAAAGAGAAGAGAGGUUGGGAUUGGGCGACGAUGGCAGUUGGCAAUGGUGCGAGGGAAGCGGGAAGGGGACUGUGAUGCGAUGGGUUGAAGGUGGGAGAAGGUGAUUGUCAAAGCAGGUUGGGUUGGUCACCACUCUUCCCUCAAUCUGUUCUAUAUCAAAAUGAUGUCAUUUUUAUGCACAAUAGAGUGGGCACUACAGAGGAUCCAAGUUCAAGAAAAAAAAGGCAGAAAAGUGAUAAAAAUAAAUGUUAGUUGUGGCAUUAAAAAUUUAUUUAAUAUUUUUUUUUUGUCCUUUGUACAUAGAUAUGAUAGAUGUAAAUAUACAUUUAGUUGUACCAUUGGAACACAAUCACUCUCUAAACCAACAAACACUACGCACACAAUUGAUUUUCACUUUUA